AAGUCGUAACAAGGUUUCCGUAGGUGAACCUGCGGAAGGAUCAUUAUCGAAUAAACUUGAACAGGCUGUUGCUGACUCCGUGCACGCUUGUCAUCUUUAUUUCUCCAACUGUGCACUUAUUGUAGACUUGGGAGGGAGGAUUUUUUUCCCCCUCCGAGUCUAUGUUGCUUUUCACAAUCUUUGAAUGUGUUAGGAAUGUGGAUAAAUGAAAUAAUAUAAUACAACUUUCAGCAAUGGAUCUCUUGGCUCUCGCAUCGAUGAAGAACGCAGCGAAAUGCGAUAAGUAAUGUGAAUUGCAGAAUUCAGUGAAUCAUCGAAUCUUUGAACGCAUCUUGCGCUCCUUGGUAUUCUGAGGAGCAUGCCUGUUUGAGUGUCAUCAAGUUCUCAACUACAUCGAUCCUUUCGGUGUGGCUUUUGGAUGUGGGUUUGCAGGCUUUAAAAAGUCGGCUCUCCUGAAAUGAAUUAGUGGUAUUCUGAGCACUAUGGGUGUGAUAAAUUUAUCUAUGCCCCUGGUAUGCUGCAUUCGCCGCUUCUAAAAAAGAAACAUGUUUGAUGAAUUUGACCUCAAAUCAGGUAGGACUACCCGCUGAACUUAAGCAUAUCAAUAAGCGGAGGAAAAAGAAACUAACAAGGAUUCCCCUAGUAACUGCGAGUGAAGCGGGAAAAGCUCAAAUUUGAAAUCUGGUGGUUUUUGACCGUCCGAGUUGUAAUCUAGAGAA
RNAcentral lists this unclassified non-coding RNA (719 nucleotides) under uncultured Inocybe. RNAcentral's name for it is "sequence contains ITS1, 5.8S rRNA gene and ITS2". The stretch from base 223 to 376 matches the Rfam family "5.8S ribosomal RNA". Lineage: Eukaryota; Fungi; Basidiomycota; Agaricomycetes; Agaricales; Cortinariaceae. The record is from RNAcentral.